UGGGGAAUCUUGCACAAUGGACGAAAGUCUGAUGCAGCAACGCCGCGUGGGGGAUGAAGCUUUUCGGAGUGUAAACCCCUUUCGACCCGGAAGAAUGCCCGCAAGGGUUUGACGGUACGGGUAUAAGAAGCCCCGGCUAACUACGUGCCAGCAGCCGCGGUAAUACGUAGGGGGCCAGCGUUGCUCGGAAUUACUGGGCGUAAAGGGUCCGUAGGCGGUGUGGCAAGUCGGGAGUGAAAUCUCUGGGCUUAACCCAGAGGCUGCUUCCGAAAUUGCCAUGCUAGAGUGUGAGAGAGGCGAGUGGAAUUACGGGUGUAGCGGUGAAAUGCGUAGAUAUCCGUAGGAACAUCCGAGGCGAAGGCGGCUCGCUGGAUCACAACUGACGCUGAGGGACGAAAGCUAGGGGAGCAAACAGGAUUAGAUACCCUGGUAGUCCUAGCCUUAAACCAUCGGGACUUGGGGUGUGCCCUGUACGGGGCACGUCCCGUAGCUAACGCGUUAAGUCCUGCGCCUGGGGAGUACGGUCGCAAGGCUG
RNAcentral lists this ribosomal RNA (535 nucleotides) under uncultured bacterium. RNAcentral's name for it is "bacterial SSU rRNA". It matches the Rfam family "Bacterial small subunit ribosomal RNA", at positions 355 to 896 of the family's 1533-position model. The record is from RNAcentral.